This 875-nucleotide ribosomal RNA is filed under the name Planctomycetes bacterium SCGC AAA300-O08. RNAcentral's name for it is "SSU rRNA". It matches the Rfam family "Bacterial small subunit ribosomal RNA", at positions 33 to 915 of the family's 1533-position model. The record is from RNAcentral. Lineage: Bacteria; Pseudomonadati; Planctomycetota.
ACGUUGGCGGCGUGGAUUAGGCAUGCAAGUCGAGCGAGAAGGUUCCUUCGGGAACUGGACAGCGGCGAAAGGGAGAGUAACGCGUAGAUAUCUGCCUCGAGGCCCGGGAUAGCGGCGGGAAACUGCCGGUAAUACCGGAUAACAUCUCCGGAUCAAAGGUGUGAUUCCGCCUCGAGAUGAGUCUGCGUCCUAUUAAUGCUUGUUGGUGUGGUAACGGCGCACCAAGGCGAAGAUGGGUACCGGGUGUGAGAGCAUGGCCCGGCUCACUGGGACUGAGACACUGCCCAGACACCUACGGGUGGCUGCAGUCGAGAAUCUUCGGCAAUGGGCGAAAGCCUGACCGAGCGACGCCGCGUGCGGGAUGAAGGCCCUCGGGUUGUAAACCGCUGUCAGUAGGGAGCAAAUCUCUUGGGGUUAUCCCCUUGAGUUGAGCGAUCUUCAGAGGAAGUACGGGCUAAGUUCGUGCCAGCAGCCGCGGUAAGACGAACCGUACGAACGUUAUUCGGAAUCACUGGGCUUAAAGAGUCCGUAGGCGGCCGUGUAGGUGGGAUGUGAAAGCCCUCGUCUCAACCGAGGAAUUGCGUUCCAAACCACAUGGCUUGAGGAGGAUAGAGGUGAGCGGAACUGAUGGUGGAGCGGUGAAAUGCGUUGAUAUCAUCAGGAACACCAGAGGCGAAGGCGGCUCACUGGGUCCUUUCUGACGCUGAGGGACGAAAGCUAGGGGAGCAAACGGGAUUAGAUACCCCGGUAGUCCUAGCUGUAAACGAUGAGCACUAGAUCGAGGGGACUUCCACAUUUUCUCGGUCGUAGCGAAAGUGUUAAGUGCUCCGCCUGGGGAGUAUGUCGCAAGGCGAAACCUCAAAAAUGAAAUGCGG